RNAcentral lists this ribosomal RNA (150 nucleotides) under Polystira sp. R-COL-10. RNAcentral describes it as "partial large subunit ribosomal RNA". Lineage: Eukaryota; Metazoa; Mollusca; Gastropoda; Neogastropoda; Turridae. The record is from RNAcentral.
UAUUAAGGCAAUGUAGAAAUUUCAUUUUAGUUCUUUUUGAUCAAAACAUUGUUAAAUUUAGUAAAGGAGAUUAAAAAUUAUUAAAUAUUCUUAAAUUCCAAGUACUGUGAAGGAAUGGCCUUAAUUGAAAGAAAGAAAAAAUUAGAUCUU